Molecule: long non-coding RNA, 3934 nt
Filed under: Mytilus galloprovincialis (Mediterranean mussel)
Lineage: Eukaryota; Metazoa; Mollusca; Bivalvia; Mytilida; Mytilidae
Source: RNAcentral
GUGUGCCUGUUAAAAAAUAUUGCGAAAGUUUUACUGGACAGCGGACAGCUGUGGGUGGACCUCUAGGCUCUACAAAACGUCAAUGUGAAAAAAGAUAUUUAAAGCAUUUUUAAUAAGCCAAAGUAUUAAUCAACAGUAUUUUAAGUGAGCAGGUGAACAUAGACAUAGCAAACUUAACUUGAAAUUAAAUUGUAAUCGUAAUAUACGUAUGUAAUUGUAAAUAAGUGAAACAGACAAACUCAAAACAGUGAUUAAACAAAGCUUCAUACACUAUGUCAUAGGAACACACAUGAACAAAGUCAUGCAAGAACCAACAUUCUACAUUAAAAAAAAUGUUUAAAAUGCUUUUGAAAGUGUGUAAAUAGAACUGUUUGACAAAAAAGCACCAUCAGCUUAUAUGAAUCUCAGACAAACAUAAUCAUGUCAGCAUUGGCAUGCUGGCAAAAAUAUAUCAGAUUUACAGCUAUUCUUAUGAAAGUCAGUAUUGUAAUAAACAAUCACCUCCCUCCCUCCCUUUCUCACUCACUCACUCACUCACUCACUCACUCAACUCACUCACUCACUCACUCACUCACUCACUCACUCACUCACUCACUCACUCACUCACCCGGCCCCCACCCAACUCACUCACUCCCACCCACCCUGGGCACCCACCCACCCAACUCACUCUUUAAUGCACACAUGAAGAAACAAAGGAAUAAAGUAAGGGAUGAACAAACAAACAAAUGAUUUUAUUCCCCUUCCAUAGCUGAGGGUGGCAUUAAGUUUUACCCUUGUCCGUCUGUAUGUUGUUCAUUCAUGAGUAUGCCUGUCCUUCCUAAAGUUGUUUACUGUUCUCUAACUUGAGUUUGGCUCAGCCAAAUUUUAUGAAAGUUAAACACAAUGCUUAUUAUCACAAAAGACAGAUCUGACAGGAAUGAAUUUGGAUGGCAUCACUCCAACUGUUUUAGAGUUAUGCCCCUUUAAAAAUGGAAAAAAUGCUAAAUUUGUCGUUUCCAUAUACAUUGUAUUCUUUAACUUAAGUUUGCCUCUAUCAAAUGUAUGAAAUUUAUGCACAAAACUUAGAUAAAGAUUGAAUUUGGGUGGUAUUGCUUUUACCUUUCUGAAGUUAGGUUUUUUAUAAUGUUAUAUGCAAGCAGGGGCAUCAUUGGUGUUUGAUGGACACAUUCUCCAUUUAUUUCAGAUACUAUUUCAUAUUUAUUUUUUAAUAUAAUUCUAUACCCCACUCUUAAAGUUUGGGCAUAGAACAUUAUCCUUCCAUCUUUUCCUAUUGCUGCUCCUCCAUCUGUCCAUCUGUUCCUUCAACAAAUGUUAUGGUUACACUUUUCUCAGGUACAUGUACUUCCAAACAGACUUGAUAUUUGGUCAUUAGCUUUCUCAGUGAUGAUUUGUAAAAUUUGAGCACUUUUUGGAUCUGUCAGACCCCAUCUUCCUGUACAUGCUGUAUGCCUUUACUUAAUUUUUUUUGUAUUUAAUUUACUUAAAAUACUUCAUCACAACUUUCCCAAGUAUAUACAACUGAACAGAACAGGUUUAAAUUUGGUCUUCAGCUUGAUAGUCAUGUGAUAGUGAUGAGUUGUCACCUGUGGUCACUAUUUGGAUCUGCACAACCCCUACUUUCUAUUUACCCAAACUUUGCUAAAAUAUGAAAUUCAAGUCAUAUAUUCAGUUACAGGUACAUGUUAUGUUGUAUAAAAUUUAAGUCAUUUAUAAUAUUUAGGUCACCAUAUAAGUUCAAUAUAAAAAAGAAGAUGUGGUAUGAUUGCCAAUGAGACAACUCUCCACAAGAGACCAAAUGACACAGAAAUUAACAACUAAAGGUCACCAUACAGCCUUCAACGAUGAUCAAAUUUAAAGCCCUUACUGCAUAGUCAGCUAUAAAAGGCCUCAAAAUGACAAAUGUAUUACAAUUCAAACGAAAAAACUAACUCAAGUAAUUUUAUAACUUUGUCACCUUAUAGCUCAGUUAUGUGUGUACUAUGUAUGUUAGAAUACAAAUGUAAUUAUAAUAUUCAUGAUAUUCAACAUGUUCAAGUCAUUUAUAAUCUUGCAAGGGUCUUGAUAUCUUUCAUGUAGAGUAGACUGGUACUUUACCCAAAACUUGUACAUGUUGUAGGUGGUAUGAAUACUAGUAUACUUUUCAAUAUGUAUAUUCCAUGAAUAUCUUUAUGAAAAUUCCUAUAAAAAUUCAGGCAACUUAUCAGUAGCAUAGUACAUAGAAGGGUAAAAGUACCUUUGAUCAGUUUAACUAAAGUUGAUCGUAAAUCAAGAAUGAUUCUGUAUAAUUAAGUGCAUGUACUGAAUUCAUACUACUUAAUUUUAUAACACGAAGAAAAUAUUUUGAGGGAAGGAUAGACAUGCUUGUUUUUUAGACUCCUAAAACCUUUAGAUUGGAUAUUCAACAGUCUUCACGCCGAGUGGCAGCCCAGGCAGCCCAGGCUGGUUAAAUUGCUCUUGGGCCUGUAAAAAUCAGACCUACAGGCCAACAGAAUCUAACUAAAAAUUUUCAAAAAUUGAGCUGCGGGCCUGUAGAUUUAGCAGUUCAGCGUGAAGACUGAUUCAAAGUUUUAACUUUUAUACUCAUUUUCUUUCGCACAGGAAAAGUUUACACUUAUUGUAAUUGAUAUCAAGAAAAACAAAAUGGAGAAUAUUGUUAGAAAAACAGAAACAUUGAUGGAUGAAAAUAGAAAAUUUACGUCAAACAGCGAUACAUGUGUGUAUGGAGAUAACCGGCAGUCACAGUCAAACAUACUUAGUCAUGGCUCAACUGUUCAGGCAGAUAAUUCAAUAGCAAAUAACUGUAUGUGUGAUAUUGAUGAAGAAAAAGUGUCAGAAGUUGAUCAAAUUGAAAAAUCUGAACUAAGAAGAGAAAACGAAGGGGCAAAUGCUGAUUCAUAUUCUGACUUUGAAGUAUCAGGGUUAGUGUUCAAUUCUGUUGUUGCUGCUGCUGUUACAACACCUACCACCACAACCAAUGAUGCAGCCAGGAUACAUGUGCAGAGACCUCCAUCUAAGUCACAGACUUUUCCAAUUCAGAAUACAGAUUUUGGAACAGUUUUGUCAACUCUAACUUCCUUAACUUAUGAAAAAGCAACUAAAAUUGAACAGUCAGCACAAAAUAAAACUCAAUGUAACGUAAAUAUAUUAAAGAAGUCUAAGACUAGUGCAUCAGAUUUUACUCCAUAUUCUUUUGACAGGAAUCCAACUCCGUAUCCUUUGACCAGGACUCUAACUCCGUAUCCUUUUACCAGGACUCCAACUCCAGAAAAAAAAAGAAAAAGAGUAUUUACAGUACCGGUUCUACCUACAAUGGGGCCAUCUACCAAACUUCUAAAUUUAGCUCUAGGUGUACGCAAAAGGAAUUCAACUUUAAUUCAGACUUCAGUUCCAAGUAUCUGUAGUGUAUGUACAGUGUAUCCUCAUACAAUAUCCCAGAAUUCAGCUUCAAAAAUAUCUACAGCUAGUUUAUCUACUGAAACCCAGAGUUCAACUCAUUCUAAUGCUCAAAAUUCAACUCAAUCUGAUACCCAACACUCAACACAAUCUGGUGCUCAGAAUUUAACUCAAUUUGAUGCUCAAAACUCAACUCAAUAUCUUCUAUUACCAUCUAAAGAUCAGAAUACAGCUCAAAAUAUAUGUACAGUAAAAUCUCCUAGUAAAACAGAGAAGAUUGAAAGAAUAUCUACAGUCCAAUCUCAUGCUAGAAUGCAGAAAUUGAGUCCAAAAGCAAAACAUCAAAUUACUGCUAUCAAAACUAAGAAGUAUCGUAAAAUAUCUACAGUGAAAUCUCGUGCCAAAGUCCAGAAAUCAGAUCCAAUUAUAUGUACAGUGUAUCCUCCUACCAAAUACACAAGUUCAGCCUUCAGAGUCUCUAGAAAUUGUUAUUCUACAAAACCUACUAUGUCUUGGGACAAAGUAUCAAUUAGUACACCAG